RNAcentral lists this long non-coding RNA (2647 nucleotides) under Triticum aestivum (bread wheat). Its description in RNAcentral is "long non-coding RNA (TAES_LNC008592)". Lineage: Eukaryota; Viridiplantae; Streptophyta; Magnoliopsida; Poales; Poaceae. The record is from RNAcentral.
GCCGCCGCUGCCGUCACCCUCCACGGAUCACGCCGCCGUCACCGGCACCGCCUCCCUCCCUCGCGCCAUCACCGUCCGCCGCCGCAAGCUACCGCUGCAGUCCGUCGCUAGCUACUGCUGCAGUCCAUCGCUGGCUCAUACGGGGGAUGCGAUGCUGCUCCGGUUACCUCUGCAUCACCGGCUGCCGCCGUGAACGGCGUCUGGACGCCACCAUGGACUGCUCCCUGGCGCCGCCCCAGCCCGUACGCACUACUUCCUCAGGGCAACCCUCCUCCACGCAGGCGACUGGCCGCUCGUGCCCGUGCCACCGUUCAUCACGCCCCCGUGAUCUGCUGCCUAGCUCGCUACCUCAUCCCCCGCGCGUCUGUCGCCCUGUCCUUCUCCAGCCUCUGAGGACGAACGCUUAGGCAUCCUGCCGUUGCAUCAUAACUUGGACUGCUCCAGGGCCAACAUCUUCCCUGUGCGCUCCAGACACCUUUGUGGCCGGUCAAGUUCUUGGCGAGGGGCGGAUGUGGCCACCUGCUCUUUUCUGUAGUUGCUCCUGCACACCGCAACACCUAUUGGUCAUCUCCACUUAGCUAGUUUGUGUGCCUGGGUUGCAACCCAUUAGGUUGCUACACAAACUAGUGGUGUUUUUCAGUAAACGAUUUCAGCAGGUGUUCGUACUACUCACAUAAAUCCUCUUAAUUUAUUCCAAAAAAAAAAGAAUGUAAAGUUGAAGUUUUACAAGCAGCUGGAACACUCUACAUACUACACCACAUUCUAUAUAGUCUGAAUCUAUCUAUCCAUCUGUUUGAUUUUUGUGUGUGUGUAGAUGCAGCAUGUUCUGAAUUUUGAAUCUUAUCUCCUUUAGUACUCCUCGCCGCCACCACUUCGCCUCCUCCCGGUGGUGCCCCUCGCCCCACGCCUGGAACGAGCCGUCAACCACCAGAAGGCGGUGUGUGUUCAUGCUCCGCUGACCACCCGGCCGCACCCCUGUACGUGGAGGAUGCUUUUGGUCUUCAGUUUGGAAAAACUGAACUUCUGAAGCAACCGUAUUGGGAAAACACACCCACCAUCUUCGUAUUGAACAAAUCCAACAUCAACAAAAUUAAGGAGACUACAAAGAUAUUAAUGUGAACCAGUGUGCAUUAUAUAGGAAUCUCCUUGUAGUACUUCUCUUCUGAUACAUGUACAAAACUCAUGUUUUCCUGUAGUACUCACCUUGCUAUACAUGUACAAAAUUGAUGCAGGGAAGAACAUCAUAUGGAGGACGGGCUCCAUUCAGCCAAUUUUUCAAAAAUACCAUAUGUAUACAGAGAAGUUUCGAUGUCGUUGCAUAGUGGAAAUCUAGAAAAAACAGGAUGAGGAAGGACGCAGCCAAGUCUGAUGUGUUCUCCUGUUGAUGAAGUAAUUCAAGGAGCAGGUGGUUUCAUUCGUAUGAAGAACCAACAAUAAAAUCUUCAUCCCCAUGUUUGUUUCUUGUUUUAUUUCAAGCUGCCACUAACCAUUGGCAUUUUUUGUCUGAUGCUCCACGUCUUGUAAGUGUCCACUAAAAAACAGAAUUUUAUGCAAUACCAGCAAACAGUAAGUGUGAACUUCUCCGUUUACAUUCAUCUAAAGAAGUACGUAUUUUUUUAAAGUAAUCUGGAGGUUAAAAGAUUAUAGUCUAGAGAGUUCAAUCAUUGGAUUUUGGGAAGAAUUCAUCUUACUAAUAAAUAAUGAAUAGAAAAAAUAUACAAAAUAGGUUUUGGGUCAGUACUAAAUAGGUUAGGAAUUAUUUGGCGUUGGUGGGGUGUUGGAGCAUUACUACUACUUGGUUCACUUCCAUUUCAAGGGUCUUGCUUGAAGAUAUCUUUGAAGCCAUAAACACAGUUGUCUUGAUUUCAAAUAGGGGUCAUGGGUUGAGCUAUUAAGCUGAACUUGUUGUUAUGCCUCUGAACAUCUACCUCUUUCCUGUAGGUGUCGAUCCUGGUGCUUGUCGCCAUUCAUGAGGAAAGAUAGUCGGUCUUUGAACGGGUGAGUGAUCUUGCUGUUGCUGGGAUGCUAUUCAACAUGGGGAUUUGAUCUCCCUUGAGGUGCAGUGUAGCGAGAUAUAUGCCGCUGCCACUUGUGGAUUUAUUGUUGAGAUGGCCGCUCAAGCUCAAUAUUGAUUAGUCCUUCCCCUAGAUAUUGCCCUACAUGCUCUGUAGGUCAUCAGUAAGAACAAAAAGUAUGCCUCUAAGCUGCCUGUGUUUAUUCCACAAAAUAAAUUAGUAUGGCUGCACACGGUUGACUGUUCUUGACCAGUUUUUGUAGUAAUUUGUAUGGCUGACAAAUUUCAGCAGUAAUUAACAUGGCUUCAGUCCAUCGUGUCUGAUUUUCAGCAGGCCAACUUGAUUAAUGCUAGUGCAGCUCAUCUUCAAAAGUGUACAUGGACGCAGUGUGAAAUUUGUUCCUGUUGUUGUUGUUGUUUAGAUAGAUCACACUAGAACAUUUUGUACGAACCAUUUACUCAAGUGAGAGAGAUAGGCUUCUUCGUAGUUCAUCUAUUUCCCGGCAAAAGCAGAAAGUGUAAUGCCGUUUGUUCCCUGUGUGAAUAAAUUUGUGUUCCUAUCUGAAGUAAUGUUUUGUUCCUAGACUAAGAACAUUCUGUCCUAGUGUGGAUAAUAUUUUAUUCAUAUGUGAA